Small nucleolar RNA from Malania oleifera, 108 nucleotides. The record is from RefSeq and is a predicted model, not a curated record. NCBI's taxonomy places the organism in Eukaryota, Viridiplantae, Streptophyta, Magnoliopsida, Santalales, Ximeniaceae.
AAUCCAUGAUGUGGACAUAUAUUCACCAGGUCCUUGAAUCUCUCCUAGGAAUCCUAGAAAGUCUCGUCACCCUUUUGCAUGAAUCGACUAAUCUGUUCCUGCAAAAAU